UACGGGGGGGGCAAGCGUUGUUCGGAAUUACUGGGCGUAAAGGGCUCGUAGGCGGCCAACUAAGUCAGACGUGAAAUCCCUCGGCUUAACCGGGGAACUGCGUCUGAUACUGGAUGGCUUGAGUUUGGGAGAGGGAUGCGGAAUUCCAGGUGUAGCGGUGAAAUGCGUAGAUAUCGGGAGGAACACCUGUGGCGAAAGCGGCGCACUGGACCAUAACUGACGCUGAGGCGCGAAAGCUAGGGGAGCAAACAGG
Molecule: ribosomal RNA, 253 nt
Filed under: uncultured bacterium
Lineage: Bacteria
Description: partial 16S ribosomal RNA
Rfam family: Bacterial small subunit ribosomal RNA
Source: RNAcentral